RNAcentral lists this transfer RNA (74 nucleotides) under Candidatus Bipolaricaulota bacterium. RNAcentral's name for it is "tRNA-Met". It matches the Rfam family "tRNA". From Rfam's summary of the family: Transfer RNA (tRNA) molecules are approximately 80 nucleotides in length. Their secondary structure includes four short double-helical elements and three loops (D, anti-codon, and T loops). The record is from RNAcentral. Lineage: Bacteria; Candidatus Bipolaricaulota.
GGCGGCGUAGCUCAACUGGUUAGAGCACUCGGCUCAUAUCCGAGAGGCUCGGGGUUCGAAUCCCUGCGCCGCUA